GAGUUUGAUCCUGGCUCAGGACGAACGCUGGCGGCGCGCCUAACACAUGCAAGUCGAACGGGAUGCGGAGAGGAUUUAUCUUUUCUGUGUUUAGUGGCGAACGGGUGAGUAACGCGUGAGGAACCUGCCUCAAAGAGGGGGACAACAGUUGGAAACGACUGCUAAUACCGCAUAAGCCCACGGUCCCGCAUGGGAGAGAGGGAAAAGGAGUGAUCCGCUUUGAGAUGGCCUCGCGUCCGAUUAGCUGGUUGGUGAGGUAACGGCCCACCAAGGCGACGAUCGGUAGCCGGACUGAGAGGUUGAACGGCCACAUUGGGACUGAGACACGGCCCAGACUCCUACGGGAGGCAGCAGU
Molecule: ribosomal RNA, 355 nt
Filed under: uncultured bacterium
Lineage: Bacteria
Description: bacterial SSU rRNA
Rfam family: Bacterial small subunit ribosomal RNA
Source: RNAcentral